AUUAGCUCAGCUGGUUAGAGCGUCGGAUUGUGGUUCCGAAGGUCAAGGGUUCGAAACCCUUAU
RNAcentral lists this transfer RNA (63 nucleotides) under pig gut metagenome. It matches the Rfam family "tRNA", at positions 6 to 65 of the family's 71-position model. From Rfam's summary of the family: Transfer RNA (tRNA) molecules are approximately 80 nucleotides in length. The record is from RNAcentral.